This 22-nucleotide non-coding RNA is filed under the name Arabidopsis thaliana (thale cress). The record is from RNAcentral. Lineage: Eukaryota; Viridiplantae; Streptophyta; Magnoliopsida; Brassicales; Brassicaceae.
GUACUGAUGAUGCUGACCGGAU